UACGGGGGGGGCAAGCGUUGUUCGGAAUUACUGGGCGUAAAGGGAGUGUAGGCGGCUUGUUAAGUCUUCUGUGAAAUCUACGGGCUCAGCCUGUAACGUGCAGAGGAAACUGGCGAGCUUGAGUGUCGGAGAGGAUAGGGGAAUACCCGGUGUAGAGGUGAAAUUCGUAGAGAUCGGGUGGAACACCAGUGGCGAAGGCGCCUAUCUGGCUGACAACUGACGCUGAGACUCGAAAGCAUGGGGAGCAAACAGG
This 253-nucleotide ribosomal RNA is filed under the name uncultured bacterium. RNAcentral describes it as "partial 16S ribosomal RNA". It matches the Rfam family "Bacterial small subunit ribosomal RNA", at positions 524 to 776 of the family's 1533-position model. The record is from RNAcentral.